AUAGCAGAGCUUGACGACAACAUUGCGAAAUUAAGAAUGACUCAACAUGUCUCCAGUUUCGAUUUAACUCUUUUUUCCAUGUGUCAUAUUGGUGAGCCGAGCUUCAUAAGGCUUUUAAAGGUCUUGGCAAUUAUCCCUCUCUGGAUGUGCUUAGAGAAGGAUGCUGUCCAUCCAGUGUCUGCUGAUGAUAGGGAAACAAGAUUUAACACAAUCAGAGAUGCAAAGCAACACUGGAUAAGGGUGCUGAUGUGACCAGGUGCCAAGGCCGGCCAAGGUCAUGUUCAUCUGCAUGAUUAAGGGAGAUGGAUUCUGCCAUGACCUCUGGAUUAUGCCAGAAGGAAGUUCCUAGAAUGUAUGGGAGGCAGACGUGGUCUGCCUGCUCUCUACUGUCCCCUCCUGGUUGGACUUGGCAGCUGGUUUCCCCAUAGGGACAUCUAUCCAUCAGUCUGCAUGCAAGAACAACUCAUUCAUUACAAUCCUGAGUGUUAUCGCUGCCUUUUUUACAUAUUACAUUAUAAUUAGAAAUACCUUCUUCAGUUUGUUAAAGCAUCUCAGGAAGCUAAAAUUUGUCUGCAUAAGCAGGAAAGUUUUUUAUAUAUAAACAUACUUAAACGAAGCAUCUGUGUUUUUCACGCUG
Melanotaenia boesemani (Boeseman's rainbowfish) is the source of this 637-nucleotide long non-coding RNA. RefSeq lists it as uncharacterized. Lineage: Eukaryota; Metazoa; Chordata; Actinopteri; Atheriniformes; Melanotaeniidae. The transcript has 3 exons. The record is from RefSeq and is a predicted model, not a curated record.